UCCGGUUUGUCACCGGCAGUCUCGCAUGAGUCCCCAACUAAAUGCUGGCAACAUGCGACGGGGGUUGCGCUCGUUGCGGGACUUAACCCAACAUCUCACGACACGAGCUGACGACAGCCAUGCACCACCUGUGCACUGGUCCCGAAGGAGGGCCGUAUUUCUACGGAUUUCCAGUGCAUGUCAAGCCCUGGUAAGGUUCUUCGCGUUGCAUCGAAUUAAACCACAUGCUCCGCUGCUUGAGCGGGGCCCCGUCAAUUCCUUUGAGUUUUAGCCUUGCGGCCGUACUCCCCAGGCGGGACACUUACUGCGUUAGCUUCGGCACGGAGGGGGUCGAUACCCCCCACACCUAGUGCCCAACGUUUACGGCAUGGACUAC
Molecule: unclassified non-coding RNA, 376 nt
Filed under: uncultured Thermoleophilia bacterium
Lineage: Bacteria; Bacillati; Actinomycetota; Thermoleophilia
Description: contains 16S-23S intergenic spacer region
Source: RNAcentral